This is a long non-coding RNA of Cottoperca gobio, 325 nucleotides long. RefSeq lists it as uncharacterized. NCBI's taxonomy places the organism in Eukaryota, Metazoa, Chordata, Actinopteri, Perciformes, Bovichtidae. The transcript is spliced from 3 exons. The record is from RefSeq and is a predicted model, not a curated record.
AUGACACCAUUGCAGCUUGUCUCAUCACUUUUUCUGUGUGUUUGUGUCUCCAGUAUAACUUUGUGCCAGUGAACCUUCUCCUUGAAGGCCUGAACCUGCGUCUGGUGGGAACACUGAAUGUAGAGAUGUUGUGCGAGGUCGUGAACAAAGAUCUGGCUCCUCCCGUCCCGGCUGCUCCUCUACUGAGUCGUGAAAACUCAAAGGCAACAAGAGGAUGAGGCAGAGCAGCAAGGCAGCAGAUGUGGACAGUUUGAAUUAAGUCCUGAUAGAGUGAAGUCUAUAAUACUGAAAUGAAGAUUCUUGAGGAAUAAACUUUUCUUUGGAG